GAAUUUUCACCAGUUUAUCUGAAAUUCUGUGUAUUGAUUUAAGUCAUGCUUCAAUGAAUGAAAAUAUAUGUCAGAUACUUGAACCUCUUCCCCACAGAUUUCAUUUUCUACCUGUCCGUAAUUUGGAGUUUGAAAAGACACAAUGGGGCUUUCUGAAGUUUCUGAGUUUGUGCCUGCCAUGUCCCUGUUCUGCUGUAAGAAAUCUCCCUGGGCAGUCUGCGUCUCCAAGAAGCCACUGAGGCCAAAAAGAUGGAGUGAUGGCCUGUCCUCACUGGGAAAGGAGACUGUGGUGCAUUGCAUGAGAUGUUGCUUGACAAGAAUCUUCAAUCUAUAGAGAAAAUCAGGAGCCAAGAAAUACUUGAAUAAAGCUCCCACGACUAAACAGGGCUCUGAGCACCUCACUUAAUCUUCUGUGUGACCACUCCCC
Molecule: long non-coding RNA, 427 nt
Filed under: Gallus gallus (chicken)
Lineage: Eukaryota; Metazoa; Chordata; Aves; Galliformes; Phasianidae
Source: RNAcentral